This 460-nucleotide ribosomal RNA is filed under the name uncultured bacterium. Its description in RNAcentral is "partial 16S ribosomal RNA". It matches the Rfam family "Bacterial small subunit ribosomal RNA", at positions 338 to 795 of the family's 1533-position model. The record is from RNAcentral.
CCUACGGGGGGCAGCAGUGAGGAAUAUUGGUCAAUGGACGCAAGCCUGAACCAGCCAUGCCGCGUGCAGGAAGACGGCUCUAUGAGUUGUAAACUGCUUUUGUACGAGGGUAAAUCCCGAUACGUGUAUCGGGUUGAAAGUAUCGUACGAAUAAGGAUCGGCUAACUCCGUGCCAGCAGCCGCGGUAAUACGGAGGAUUCAAGCGUUAUCCGGAUUUAUUGGGGUUAAAGGGAGCGUAGGCGGUUCGAUAAGGUAGAGGUGAAAUCCCGGGGCUCAACGCCGGCACUGCCUCUGAUACUGUCGUGCUUGAGUGUGUGUGCGGUAGGCGGAAUGUGUGGUGUAGCGGUGAAAUGCAUAGAUAUCAUGCAGAACACCGAUUGCGAAGGCAGCUUACCGAACCACAACUGACGUUGAGGCACGAAAGCGUGGGUAGCGAACAGGAUUAGAUACCCGUGUAGUC